UGACAACCCACCCUGGUUUGCCUGGGACUGAGAGGUUUUUGGGAUGCAGCACUUUCAGUGUUAAAACCAGGACAAUC
This 77-nucleotide microRNA precursor is filed under the name Chlorocebus sabaeus (green monkey). RNAcentral's name for it is "miRNA (ENSCSAG00000025843.1)". The record is from RNAcentral. Lineage: Eukaryota; Metazoa; Chordata; Mammalia; Primates; Cercopithecidae.